This 250-nucleotide ribosomal RNA is filed under the name uncultured bacterium. RNAcentral's name for it is "partial 16S ribosomal RNA". It matches the Rfam family "Bacterial small subunit ribosomal RNA", at positions 1250 to 1500 of the family's 1533-position model. The record is from RNAcentral.
CAAAGCCGCGAGGUGGAGCAAAUCCCUAAAAGACCAUCCCAGUUCGGAUCGCAGGCUGCAACCCGCCUGCGUGAAGUUGGAAUCGCUAGUAAUCGCGGAUCAGCAUGCCGCGGUGAAUACGUUCCCGGGCCUUGUACACACCGCCCGUCACACCAUGAGAGUUGGAGAUACCCGAAGCCUGUGAGCUAACUUUUAGAGGCAGCAGUCGAAGGUAGAAUCAAUGAUUGGGGUGAAGUCGUAACAAGGUAAC